UACGUAGGGUGCAAGCGUUGUCCGGAAUUAUUGGGCGUAAAGAGCUCGUAGGCGGUUUGUUGCGUCGGCUGUGAAAUCCCGAGGCUCAACCUCGGGUCUGCAGUCGAUACGAGCAAACUAGAGUGUUGCAGGGGAGACUGGAAUUCCUGGUGUAGCGGUGAAAUGCGCAGAUAUCGGAAGGAACAUCAGUGGCGAAAGCGACUUCCUGGACCAAUACUGACGCUCAUGUGCGAAAGCGUGGGGAGCAAACAGG
RNAcentral lists this ribosomal RNA (253 nucleotides) under uncultured bacterium. Its description in RNAcentral is "partial 16S ribosomal RNA". It matches the Rfam family "Bacterial small subunit ribosomal RNA", at positions 524 to 776 of the family's 1533-position model. The record is from RNAcentral.